This 440-nucleotide ribosomal RNA is filed under the name uncultured bacterium. RNAcentral's name for it is "bacterial SSU rRNA". It matches the Rfam family "Bacterial small subunit ribosomal RNA", at positions 338 to 795 of the family's 1533-position model. The record is from RNAcentral.
CCUACGGGAGGCAGCAGUAGGGAAUCUUGGACAAUGGGCGAAAGCCUGAUCCAGCCAUGCCGCGUGAGUGAUGAAGGCCCUAGGGUUGUAAAACUCUUUCGCCAGGGAAGAUAAUGACGGUACCUGGUAAAGAAACCCCGGCUAACUCCGUGCCAGCAGCCGCGGUAAUACGGAGGGGGUUAGCGUUGUUCGGAAUUACUGGGCGUAAAGCGCACGUAGGCGGACUAGUCAGUCAGAGGUGAAAUCCCGAGGCUCAACCUCGGAACUGCCUUUGAUACUGCUAGUCUAGAGUUCGAGAGAGGUGAGUGGAAUUCCGAGUGUAGAGGUGAAAUUCGUAGAUAUUCGGAGGAACACCAGUGGCGAAGGCGGCUCACUGGAUCGAUACUGACGCUGAGGUGCGAAAGCGUGGGGAGCAAACAGGAUUAGAUACCCUAGUAGUC